UGCCUUGGAUUGUCCCUAAUCAGAGUAAGUUCAAUCAAAUUAGGGAUCACAAGAAAUGGAGCCCCAUCAUUUUUUUUAUUUUAAUUUUUAAUUUUUAAUUUUUUGUUGGUUGUAUAAGCUAGAAUUUCACAAUGACCUUGAAAAGAUUGAUAAUGAUAUAACUUAAACGAAACUAAUACUUAAACAAGUAAUAUCGAAGGAAUUUAACAAAAUUGAAGAAGCAUAACUUGUCAACAAAUAUAGGAACCAAAGACGAGCAUAGUUGACUAUUUUAUGGGUGCUAGGUAUGUUUGUACAUUAAAAUUGUAUUUUAUAGAUUUAGCAACUAUUAGUUGUAGAUAACAUAUACAUGCAAUUCUUUAUGUAUAAAUAUUCUAUUAUAACACUAAUUUAUGAAUGAAGAUACAAUAUUCUCGCAUGGUAUCAUAGCCAUAGUCGAUUAGCAAGCCCAAAAACCACAUAUUGAAGCCACCUUGCAAAACUACUUUGCAAGUCACUCUGCAAAUCAUUUUGCAAAACCACUCUGUCAAAACCAUUAUAGCAAAAUCACUUACUAAAACCACUGGAUUUGAAACAGUGUCGAAAUCACCAUCAUCAAAACUACACAUAGAAAACCACCCAUUGAAACCACCAACAGAAGCCACAAUCUGGAAAGCCAUAUGAAACUGCCAAACCUCCAUCUGAAAUCUAAAAACCACUCGGCAAAACCGCCAGAUUGAAGAGUGCCAAUUGAAACCAUCAUCUGUCAAACAAGCUAAAAUCGCCUGAACUUGAAAUCUCAAAACAAGAUUUGUAACCUUAUCUCUGAAAACUUACUUUGAGCUCUCUAAAACCUACUCUCUCUUAAUCUUUUAGACCUACUCUGAAAUCUUCUUCGUUCUCCUCCGAAUCUGAAGCUCUCUUAGUCUCUGCAUCCUCUUUCUUGACUACGGUCUCUCCUCCAUUUUGUUUCUUUCUAGUAGGCAGUCUGCUUUUUCUUUACAAUGGGCCAUAUUUGGUUUUUGUUUUGUUUGGU
This 1015-nucleotide long non-coding RNA is filed under the name Amborella trichopoda. RNAcentral's name for it is "long non-coding RNA (ATRI_LNC000307)". Lineage: Eukaryota; Viridiplantae; Streptophyta; Magnoliopsida; Amborellales; Amborellaceae. The record is from RNAcentral.